GAUGAACGCUGGCGGCGUGCCUAAUACAUGCAAGUCGAGCGAACAGACGAGGAGCUUGCUCCUCUGACGUUAGCGGCGGACGGGUGAGUAACACGUGGAUAACCUACCUAUAAGACUGGGAUAACUUCGGGAAACCGGAGCUAAUACCGGAUAAUAUAUUGAACCGCAUGGUUCAAUAGUGAAAGACGGUUUUGCUGUCACUUAUAGAUGGAUCCGCGCCGCAUUAGCUAGUUGGUAAGGUAACGGCUUACCAAGGCAACGAUGCGUAGCCGACCUGAGAGGGUGAUCGGCCACACUGGAACUGAGACACGGUCCAGACUCCUACGGGAGGCAGCAGUAGGGAAUCUGCCGCAAUGGGCGAAAGCUUGACGGAGCAACGCCGCGUGAGUGAUGAAGGUCUUCGGAUCGUAAAAAUCUGUUAUUAGGGAAGAACAAAUGUGUAAGUAACUAUGCACGUCUUGACGGUACCUAAUCAGAAAGCCCCGGCUAACUACGUG
RNAcentral lists this ribosomal RNA (497 nucleotides) under uncultured bacterium. RNAcentral's name for it is "partial 16S ribosomal RNA". It matches the Rfam family "Bacterial small subunit ribosomal RNA", at positions 28 to 507 of the family's 1533-position model. The record is from RNAcentral.